AGUGAACGCUGGCGGUAGGCCUAACACAUGCAAGUCGAACGGCAGCACAGGAGAGCUUGCUCUCUGGGUGGCGAGUGGCGGACGGGUGAGGAAUACAUCGGAAUCUACUUUUUCGUGGGUGAUAACGUAGGGAAACUUACGCUAAUACCGCAUACGACCUACGCGUGAAAGCAGGGGACCUUCGGGCCUUGCGCGAUUGAAUGAGCCGAUGUCGGAUUAGCUAGUCGGCGGGGUAAAGGCCCACCAAGGCGACGAUCCGUAGCUGGUAUGAGAGGAUGAUCAGCCACACUGGAACUGAGACACGGUCCAGACUCCUACGGGAGGCAGCAGUGGGGAAUAUUGGACAAUGGGCGCAAGCCUGAUCCAGCCAUACCGCGUGGGUGAAGAAGGCCUUCGGGUUGUAAAGCCCUUUUGUUGGGAAAGAAAUCCAGCUGGCUAAUACCCGGUUGGGAUGACGGUACCCAAAGAAUAAGCACCGGCUAACUUCGUGCCAGCCGCCGCGGUAA
This 506-nucleotide ribosomal RNA is filed under the name uncultured bacterium. RNAcentral describes it as "partial 16S ribosomal RNA". It matches the Rfam family "Bacterial small subunit ribosomal RNA", at positions 29 to 523 of the family's 1533-position model. The record is from RNAcentral.